Molecule: ribosomal RNA, 627 nt
Filed under: uncultured bacterium
Lineage: Bacteria
Description: bacterial SSU rRNA
Rfam family: Bacterial small subunit ribosomal RNA (bases 1-542)
Source: RNAcentral
CCUACGGGAGGCAGCAGUGGGGAAUUUUGGACAAUGGACGCAAGUCUGAUCCAGCCAUGCCGCGUGCGGGAAGAAGGCCUUCGGGUUGUAAACCGCUUUUGUCAGGGAAGAAACGGGUUUCUCUAAUACAGAGACCUAAUGACGGUACCUGAAGAAUAAGCACCGGCUAACUACGUGCCAGCAGCCGCGGUAAUACGUAGGGUGCAAGCGUUAAUCGGAAUUACUGGGCGUAAAGCGUGCGCAGGCGGUUAUGCAAGACAGAGGUGAAAUCCCCGGGCUCAACCUGGGAACUGCCUUUGUGACUGCAUAGCUAGAGUACGGUAGAGGGGGAUGGAAUUCCGCGUGUAGCAGUGAAAUGCGUAGAUAUGCGGAGGAACACCGAUGGCGAAGGCAAUCCCCUGGACCUGUACUGACGCUCAUGCACGAAAGCGUGGGGAGCAAACAGGAUUAGAUACCCUGGUAGUCCACGCCCUAAACGAUGUCAACUGGUUGUUGGGAGGGUUUCUUCUCAGUAACGAAGCUAACGCGUGAAGUUGACCGCCUGGGGAGGACGGCGCGAAGGUAGUAACGUUACGAAGUAAGUUAGUUAGGCGNGNGACGNGCGACGGACGACGACGAGGGAGGAGG